CCAGCAGAACCGCACUCUGGUGGAGACAGUGAAGGAGCUGGAGACAGAGGCGUCCCGCCGCUGUGAGAUGCUGGAGAGCCGCCUGGUCUCCACCACUUCCAGCACCAAGCAGUACAUGUUGCAGCUGCACCAGCUACAGCGGCAGGUGCAGCAGCUGAUGGCCGUCC
Molecule: long non-coding RNA, 167 nt
Organism: Pollicipes pollicipes
Lineage: Eukaryota; Metazoa; Arthropoda; Thecostraca; Pollicipedomorpha; Pollicipedidae
Exons: 3
Source: RefSeq, a predicted model, not a curated record